UUCCUACUAGUUUGGGUGGCAUUUUAGGUUUUGAGGAGUUGCAGUUGAGUGUCAAUCAGUUAUCAGGUGCUUUGAUCGUGAGGUGAAUCAAGAAUUUGGAGCUGCAAUCAGUAGAGAGGAACAUGUGGAUGCUUGAAGACUGUGUUGGGAUUAAUGUUUUGUGCGUGGAACAAAUUCAAUUGGUCGUUGUUCAAUCGUGGAAAGCAUGUUUUUGUGCUUGAUAUUCCCACUUAAUUCCUUUCUUGGGAAACGACAAAGAGAUGCCGAAGCAAAAUCGGGUGAAAAAUCUGUUCAAAUCAAUCAAAGGGAGCUUUUCGCUUGCUCCAGAGCAGUCAUCACAUGCUCAGUCUCAGGCUCAAGCUUCAUAUUCAUCUUCUGGUCGAGACUCUUUACGUCACACACAACCCAUCAUUCCAUCUUCAUCAACUAAUAGAGUCUCGUCACAAAAUGGCAUUCCAGCUUCAUCAAUUAAUAGAGUCUCCUCACAGAAUCGCAUUCCAUCUUCAUCAACUAACAGAGUCUCGUCACAGAAUGGUAUUCCAGCUUCAUCAACUAAUAGAGUCUCGUCACAGAAUGGCAUUCCAUCUUUUUUGUAUCUUCUUGCUGUUUGUUUGUUUUUAAAAAAUCUUUUCUUGGAUCAAUAUUAUCUAUACAAGAUUAAUAUAACGUAUUUGCUGAUACUUCAGAAUAUUGAUUGGAUUCUUGAGAUUUCUUUAUAUACUCAUUGAACUCUGAACUUGUUGUGAGUCAUUUAAUGUUAAAUAUUUUUUAAAAAAAUUCAUCCUUUUUGGCAAAUUCUGAGUUGAGUUUGUAAAAGGAAGCAAAUUCUUUUCUGUAAAAAUGAUACUGUAUAUGUUCUGUUUUUUUUGGCAAUGUAAUAAUUUUUAUUACAUUUGAGUAAUAGUUGUCUAUUCCUUGAUGUUUGGCAAAGCACUGUCUGAAGUUUCACAAAGGGUAGAAAUUUCAAGUCUUUUUUGUUGAUUUAGUCCACUCGUGACUGUUGUUUGGUUUCUCAAAGUUGCCAGAGUUCUGCUUGCUAUAUUCUAAUAUUCUCUUUCGGGGAGCUUGCAGUUAUUCCAGUGUGGAGUUUCUGUAAUAAGCUCGUGAUAUUAGACUGACCAUGAAGCUCAAUUGAUUGCAAAUUGUUUCUUUGAAUAUGAUGUUUCAUUCAUUGCUUCUUUAUUUUCUAUCCGGUGUUAGUGCAUCCAAUAUAAUUUUUAGUUGAAAUGGUUUGUGGAGUUUCAAUAGUAAAUCAUAAUUCAUCUAAAGUUCAGCAGUCCAAUAAAUUUCUUUAAACCUAUGUUAGAAAUGGUUUGUGGAGUUUGCAGAUGGUAACACUAUCUGUUUGAUUGAAAGAAAUGAAGUUAUUGUUGAUACAGG
Molecule: non-coding RNA, 1380 nt
Organism: Nicotiana tabacum (common tobacco)
Lineage: Eukaryota; Viridiplantae; Streptophyta; Magnoliopsida; Solanales; Solanaceae
Source: RefSeq, a predicted model, not a curated record